Molecule: long non-coding RNA, 299 nt
Filed under: Setaria viridis
Lineage: Eukaryota; Viridiplantae; Streptophyta; Magnoliopsida; Poales; Poaceae
Description: long non-coding RNA (SVIR_LNC009619)
Source: RNAcentral
UCUUCCACAAUGUCCGUUGCCACUCUUCAUCGUAGAAUUGAAGCUCCUCCUUGACGUCCAUUGCCGCUCGGCGGAGAACAUGCUCGCCGAGAUGAACACGGUAUGCAAGUUCAACAAGUACGGAUUUGAAAAAACAUAUUGAAUUUGACAAGGUAAACCGUCUAGACAAGGGUAGCAUCAUUCUUAAACCGCUGCAAGGAUACAUACUAUAUAUGACACGUAUGACAUACUAAUUUUUUCCUCAUAAUUAAUAUUGAAAUCCUCUCCAUUCUACCUCACAUUUACUCUCCAUGAUCUCC